CGUUCCCGGGCCUUGUACACACCGCCCGUCAAGUCACGAAAGUUGGUAACACCCGAGGCCGGUGGCCUAACCCCUUGUGGGAGGGAGCUGUCGAAGGUGGGACUGGCGAUUGGGACU
RNAcentral lists this ribosomal RNA (117 nucleotides) under uncultured bacterium. RNAcentral's name for it is "partial 16S ribosomal RNA". It matches the Rfam family "Bacterial small subunit ribosomal RNA", at positions 1369 to 1482 of the family's 1533-position model. The record is from RNAcentral.